GCAGACCAAACGCUGUGAUCAUCACUGCAUUAGUUUACUUUACCUGAACAGGUGUGCCUGAUACUCAUCUACAACAGAUUCCCCAGAGGAAGAAGAAUUUACACAAAUCAACAUGAAGGUUCUCAUACUGGCCGCUCUUCUCUGUAUGCACUCUGCUGUGACCCAUGCUGCGACCCAUGCUGCGACCCAGUCUGCACCUGUCUCUAACUCGACAGCCUCCUCUAUAGUGGAGGGCCUUCUGCACACCUGUUUUGGAGAAUAAUAUUUAUU
Molecule: long non-coding RNA, 270 nt
Organism: Clupea harengus (Atlantic herring)
Lineage: Eukaryota; Metazoa; Chordata; Actinopteri; Clupeiformes; Clupeidae
Source: RefSeq, a predicted model, not a curated record